Molecule: ribosomal RNA, 256 nt
Filed under: uncultured Pseudomonas sp.
Lineage: Bacteria; Pseudomonadati; Pseudomonadota; Gammaproteobacteria; Pseudomonadales; Pseudomonadaceae
Description: partial 16S ribosomal RNA
Rfam family: Bacterial small subunit ribosomal RNA
Source: RNAcentral
CGGCGGACGGGUGAGUAAUGCCUAGGAAUCUGCCUGGUAGUGGGGGACAACGUUUCGAAAGGAACGCUAAUACCGCAUACGUCCUACGGGAGAAAGCAGGGGACCUUCGGGCCUUGCGCUAUCAGAUGAGCCUAGGUCGGAUUAGCUAGUUGGUGAGGUAAUGGCUCACCAAGGCGACGAUCCGUAACUGGUCUGAGAGGAUGAUCAGUCACACUGGAACUGAGACACGGUCCAGACUCCUACGGGAGGCAGCACU